This 1343-nucleotide ribosomal RNA is filed under the name uncultured bacterium. RNAcentral describes it as "16S ribosomal RNA". It matches the Rfam family "Bacterial small subunit ribosomal RNA", at positions 28 to 1378 of the family's 1533-position model. The record is from RNAcentral.
GACGAACGCUGGCGGCGUGCUUAACACAUGCAAGUCGAACGGAAAGGCCCUGCUUUUGUGGGGUGCUCGAGUGGCGAACGGGUGAGUAACACGUGAGUAACCUGCCCUUGACUUUGGGAUAACUUCAGGAAACUGGGGCUAAUACCGGAUAGGAGCUCCUGCUGCAUGGUGGGGGUUGGAAAGUUUCGGCGGUUGGGGAUGGACUCGCGGCUUAUCAGCUUGUUGGUGGGGUAGUGGCUUACCAAGGCUUUGACGGGUAGCCGGCCUGAGAGGGUGACCGGCCACAUUGGGACUGAGAUACGGCCCAGACUCCUACGGGAGGCAGCAGUGGGGAAUAUUGCACAAUGGGCGGAAGCCUGAUGCAGCAACGCCGCGUGCGGGAUGACGGCCUUCGGGUUGUAAACCGCUUUCGCCUGUGACGAAGCGUGAGUGACGGUAAUGGGUAAAGAAGCACCGGCUAACUACGUGCCAGCAGCCGCGGUGAUACGUAGGGUGCGAGCGUUGUCCGGAUUUAUUGGGCGUAAAGGGCUCGUAGGUGGUUGAUCGCGUCGGAAGUGUAAUCUUGGGGCUUAACCCUGAGCGUGCUUUCGAUACGGGUUGACUUGAGGAAGGUAGGGGAGAAUGGAACUCCUGGUGGAGCGGUGGAAUGCGCAGAUAUCAGGAGGAACACCAGUGGCGAAGGCGGUUCUCUGGGCCUUUCCUGACGCUGAGGAGCGAAAGCGUGGGGAGCGAACAGGCUUAGAUACCCUGGUAGUCCACGCUGUAAACGGUGGGUACUAGGUGUGGGGUCCAUUCCACGGGUUCCGUGCCGUAGCUAACGCUUUAAGUACCCCGCCUGGGGAGUACGGCCGCAAGGCUAAAACUCAAAGGAAUUGACGGGGCCCCGCACAAGCGGCGGAGCAUGCGGAUUAAUUCGAUGCAACGCGUAGAACCUUACCUGGGUUUGACAUGGAUCGGGAGUGCUCAGAGAUGGGUGUGCCUCUUUUGGGGUCGGUUCACAGGUGGUGCAUGGCUGUCGUCAGCUCGUGUCGUGAGAUGUUGGGUUAAGUCCCGCAACGAGCGCAACCCUUGUUCACUGUUGCCAGCACGUUAUGGUGGGGACUCAGUGGAGACCGCCGGGGUCAACUCGGAGGAAGGUGGGGAUGACGUCAAGUCAUCAUGCCCCUUAUGUCCAGGGCUUCACGCAUGCUACAAUGGCUGGUACAGAGAGUGGCGAGCCUGUGAGGGUGAGCGAAUCUCGGAAAGCCGGUCUCAGUUCGGAUUGGGGUCUGCAACACGACCUCAUGAAGUCGGAGUCGCUAGUAAUCGCAGAUCAGCAACGCUGCGGUGAAUACGUUCCCGGG